Molecule: ribosomal RNA, 1170 nt
Filed under: Providencia stuartii
Lineage: Bacteria; Pseudomonadati; Pseudomonadota; Gammaproteobacteria; Enterobacterales; Morganellaceae
Description: partial 23S ribosomal RNA
Rfam family: Bacterial large subunit ribosomal RNA
Source: RNAcentral
GGAGCUGAAGCCAGUCGCAGAUACCAGCUGGCUGCAACUGUUUAUUAAAAACACAGCACUGUGCAAACACGAAAGUGGACGUAUACGGUGUGACGCCUGCCCGGUGCUGGAAGGUUAAUUGAUGGGGUUAUCCGUAAGGAGAAGCUCUUGAUCGAAGCCCCAGUAAACGGCGGCCGUAACUAUAACGGUCCUAAGGUAGCGAAAUUCCUUGUCGGGUAAGUUCCGACCUGCACGAAUGGCGUAAUGAUGGCCAGGCUGUCUCCACCCGAGACUCAGUGAAAUUGAACUCGCUGUGAAGAUGCAGUGUACCCGCGGCAAGACGGAAAGACCCCGUGAACCUUUACUAUAGCUUGACACUGAACAUUGAGCCUUGAUGUGUAGGAUAGGUGGGAGGCUUUGAAGUGUGGACGCCAGUCUGCAUGGAGCCAACCUUGAAAUACCACCCUUUAAUGUUUGAUGUUCUAACGUUGCCCCAUAAUCUGGGGUGCGGACAGUGUCUGGUGGGUAGUUUGACUGGGGCGGUCUCCUCCCAAAGCGUAACGGAGGAGCACGAAGGUUGGCUAAGCAUGGUCGGACAUCAUGCGGUUAGUGCAAAGGCAUAAGCCAGCUUGACUGCGAGAGUGACGGCUCGAGCAGGUACGAAAGUAGGUCUUAGUGAUCCGGUGGUUCUGAAUGGAAGGGCCAUCGCUCAACGGAUAAAAGGUACUCCGGGGAUAACAGGCUGAUACCGCCCAAGAGUUCAUAUCGACGGCGGUGUUUGGCACCUCGAUGUCGGCUCAUCACAUCCUGGGGCUGAAGUAGGUCCCAAGGGUAUGGCUGUUCGCCAUUUAAAGUGGUACGCGAGCUGGGUUUAGAACGUCGUGAGACAGUUCGGUCCCUAUCUGCCGUGGGCGUUGGAAGAUUGAAAGGGGCUGCUCCUAGUACGAGAGGACCGGAGUGGACGCACCGCUGGUGUUCGGGUUGUCAUGCCAAUGGCACUGCCCGGUAGCUAAGUGCGGAAGAGAUAACCGCUGAAAGCAUCUAAGCGGGAAACUUGCCUUGAGAUGAGUCUUCCCUGACUCUUUAAGGGUCCUAAAGGAACGUUUAAGACGAAGACGUUGAUAGGCUGGGUGUGUAAGCGUAGCGAUACGUUGAGCUAACCAGUACUAAUGAACCGUGAGGCUUAACCUG